UAAACAAAACCUAAUUUAUAGGAUUACAGUGAUAGUGUAAUUAAGUGAAUGUAAAAUCACUUGUUUAA
This 68-nucleotide transfer RNA is filed under the name Trichuris muris. Its description in RNAcentral is "tRNA TMUE_M000000016". The record is from RNAcentral. Lineage: Eukaryota; Metazoa; Nematoda; Enoplea; Trichinellida; Trichuridae.